GAAUACAACAAUAAGACGAGAAGACCCUAUGGAGCUUUAAUUAACCGACCCAAAGAGACCCAUUAAUUUCAACCGACAGGAACAACAAACCUCUAUAUGGGCCGACAAUUUAGGUUGGGGUGACCUCGGAGAACAGAACAACCUCCGAGUGAUUUAAAUCAAGACUAACCAGUCGAAAGUAUUACAUCACUUAUUGAUCCAAAAGUUUGAUCAACGGAACAAGUUACCC
RNAcentral lists this ribosomal RNA (229 nucleotides) under Puma concolor (puma). RNAcentral's name for it is "partial 16S ribosomal RNA". Lineage: Eukaryota; Metazoa; Chordata; Mammalia; Carnivora; Felidae. The record is from RNAcentral.